Molecule: non-coding RNA, 73 nt
Organism: Ixodes scapularis (black-legged tick)
Lineage: Eukaryota; Metazoa; Arthropoda; Arachnida; Ixodida; Ixodidae
Source: Rfam
ACCUGGUUAGCUCAGUUGGUAGAGAGCUGCACUGAAAAUGGAGAGGCCCCUGGUUCGAUAUCAGGACCAGGCA